AACGCGAAGAACCUUACCCAGGCUCGAAAUGCAGAGGGCGAUGCCAGAAAUGGCAUUUUCCGCAAGGACCUCUGUAUAGGUGCUGCAUGGCUGUCGUCAGCUCGUGCCGUGAGGUGUUGGGUUAAGUCCCGCAACGAGCGCAACCCUUAUCAUUAGUUGCCAACAUUUAAGGUGGGGACUCUAAUGAGACUGCCUAGGUUAACUAGGAGGAAGGUGAGGAUGACGUCAAGUCCGCAUGGCCUUUAUGUCUGGGGCUACACACGUGCUACAAUGGUCGGUACAGAAGGAAGCAAGAGCGCAAGCUGGAGCAAAUCCGUAAAGCCGAUCUCAGUUCGGAUUGUAGUCUGCAACUCGACUACAUGAAGUUGGAAUUGCUAGUAAUGACGUGUCAGCAACAGCGUCGUGAAUACGUUCCCGGGCCUUGUACACACCGGUACUA
RNAcentral lists this ribosomal RNA (439 nucleotides) under uncultured bacterium. RNAcentral describes it as "bacterial SSU rRNA". It matches the Rfam family "Bacterial small subunit ribosomal RNA", at positions 958 to 1398 of the family's 1533-position model. The record is from RNAcentral.